CACAAAUGUCAAACAAAACUAUCUAUCAAACGGUCGAACGCCAUUCUUAAAGGUUUUGUUUGUGUUUUUUUUUUACCUUGUUAUUCAACAAAAUGCAUACAGCAGUGCAUUUACUUUGGUUUUAGUUGUUACAACUAAUAAAGUACUCUUUGAAUUCGUGAGAGAAAAUUGAACGUCGGCAUGGGACUUUAACACUGUUGUUUGUUCGGUACAAGGGUGUACCAACAAUAAAAGGCCCAUAUUUGGUUUCCACAUCCCAUCAAUAGAUACAGGCCGUCAAGAACCCUGGAUAAUGUAGUUUGGAUUGCCAGUUGGCUAUCCAAGGUGCCGGAGGACAACAGCAGCAAUUUGUUGCAAAAUGGGUGAUUAAUUCUCAUAUUCUAUCUUGGAACCCUAAAAGGUCUAAAGUUAAUGUUCCUGUGAUUUUACUAAACAUGUUGAGAGGACCUUCACGAGGUAAAUCCUGAUUUUGGUCAUAAUUGAAGAGUUUGCUCUUAUCGCAUUUUAUAGUACCAAAAUGGUUAAUGUACUGGAUGGUACUAAUGGGUGGGAUUUAUACAGUCACUAAAAUGGAUGGUUACACCAUGGUAGAUAAACUUAAAGCUCUGUUUAAACGGGCGCACCCAAUUUUGCGGUUCAUUUGGAUGCACUGGAAGAGUAAAGCAAAUCAAGACGAGAGAGCACUGGGGGACACAGGGGAACGCGAAAAAGCAACUCAAAAUCGAACGAGUAAUUGAGUACAGAGUGGACCCCUACUAUUUGAAAAUGAACAAAAUGGGUUUAAGCCUCCAAGACUGGUUAUAACCGCAAAUAUACGAAAUACGUACAGUAAUAACGGGUUUAAGAGGAGUUUUCAUUUAUUGUCCAGAACGAAAUUCAUAAUUGUUUCAAUUCGGAAGAGGUGCUUUUAGGAAUGGGCCAUAUGUUUUUCCAGAAACUAAUAUACCGCAUGUUUUUCAUAGGAGGUUUAGUGAAAGCAAAGAUACCACAGAAAUGUAGUUUUUCCAAAAUUAUUUUUGUAUGAACCUAGUUGCAAGAUAUUUUUUUUAAUAAAGUG
Molecule: long non-coding RNA, 1057 nt
Organism: Tribolium castaneum (red flour beetle)
Lineage: Eukaryota; Metazoa; Arthropoda; Insecta; Coleoptera; Tenebrionidae
Exons: 4
Source: RefSeq, a predicted model, not a curated record